CUACGGGUUGCUGCAGUGGGGAAUAUUGCACAAUGGAGGAAACUCUGAUGCAGCAACGCCGCGUGGAGGAUGACACUUUUCGGAGCGUAAACUCCUUUUAUAUAGGAAGAAGAUGACGGUACUAUAUGAAUAAGCGCCGGCUAACUCCGUGCCAGCAGCCGCGGUAAUACGGAGGGCGCAAGCGUUACUCGGAAUCACUGGGCGUAAAGGGCGUGUAGGCGGAUUAAAAAGUCAGAAGUGAAAUCCUAUAGCUUAACUAUAGAACUGCUUCUGAAACUCUUAAUCUAGAAUAUGGGAGAGGUAGAUGGGAUUUCUGGUGUAGGGGUAAUAUCCGUAGAGAUCAGAAGGAAUACCGAUUGCGAAGGCGAUCUACUAGAACAUUAUUGACGCUGAGACGCGAAAGCGUGGGGAGCAAACAGGAUUAGAUACCCCCGUAGUC
Molecule: ribosomal RNA, 439 nt
Filed under: uncultured bacterium
Lineage: Bacteria
Description: partial 16S ribosomal RNA
Rfam family: Bacterial small subunit ribosomal RNA
Source: RNAcentral